Molecule: ribosomal RNA, 393 nt
Filed under: uncultured bacterium
Lineage: Bacteria
Description: bacterial SSU rRNA
Rfam family: Bacterial small subunit ribosomal RNA
Source: RNAcentral
AUUGAACGCUGGCGGCAUGCCUUACACAUGCAAGUCGAACGGCAGCACGGGAGCAAUCCUGGUGGCGAGUGGCGAACGGGUGAGUAAUAUAUCGGAACGUGCCCAGUCGUGGGGGAUAACGUAGCGAAAGCUACGCUAAUACCGCAUACGAUCUAUGGAUGAAAGCGGGGGAUCGCAAGACCUCGCGCGAUUGGAGCGGCCGAUAUCAGAUUAGGUAGUUGGUGAGGUAAAGGCUCGCCAAGCCGACGAUCUGUAGCUGGUCUGAGAGGACGACCAGCCACACUGGGACUGAGACACGGCCCAGACUCCUACGGGAGGCAGCAGUGGGGAAUUUUUGGACAAUGGGCGCAAGCCUGAUCCAGCAAUGCCGCGUGCAGGAUGAAGGCCCUUGGU